Molecule: unclassified non-coding RNA, 520 nt
Filed under: uncultured Glomus
Lineage: Eukaryota; Fungi; Glomeromycota; Glomeromycetes; Glomerales; Glomeraceae
Description: SSU rRNA
Rfam family: Eukaryotic small subunit ribosomal RNA
Source: RNAcentral
AGCAGCCGCGGUAAUUCCAGCUCCAAUAGCGUAUAUUAAAGUUGUUGCAGUUAAAAAGCUCGUAGUUGAAUUUCGGGAUCAAUAUAUUGGUCAUGCUUAGGUAUGUACUGGUAUUAUUGAUUUCUCCCUUCUGAAGAACCAUGAUGUCAUUAAUUUGAUGUCGUGGGGAAUCAGGACUGUUACUUUGAAAAAAUUAGAGUGUUUAAAGCAGGCUUUCGCUUGAAUACAUUAGCAUGGAAUAAUGAAAUAGGACGUUUGAUUCUAUUUUGUUGGUUUCUAGGAUCGACGUAAUGAUUAAUAGGGAUAGUUGGGGGCAUUAGUAUUCAAUUGUCAGAGGUGAAAUUCUUGGAUUUAUUGAAGACUAACUACUGCGAAAGCAUUUGCCAAGGAUGUUUUCAUUAAUCAAGAACGAAAGUUAGGGGAUCGAAGACGAUCAGAUACCGUCGUAGUCUUAACCAUAAACUAUGCCGACUAGGGAUCGGAUGAUGUUAAUUUUUUAAUGACUCAUUCGGCGCCUUAC